UACGUAGGUGGCAAGCGUUGUCCGGAUUUAUUGGGUUUAAAGGGUGCGUAGGCGGCUUUGUAAGUCAGUGGUGAAAUAUGACAGCUUAACUGUCAGGGUGCCAUUGAUACUGCGGAGCUUGAGUACAGAUGAGGUAGGCGGAAUUGACGGUGUAGCGGUGAAAUGCUUAGAUAUCGUCAAGAACACCUAUAGCGAAGGCAGCUUACUAGGCUGUAACUGACGCUGAGGCACGAAAGUGUGGGGAUCAAACAGG
This 253-nucleotide ribosomal RNA is filed under the name uncultured bacterium. RNAcentral describes it as "partial 16S ribosomal RNA". It matches the Rfam family "Bacterial small subunit ribosomal RNA", at positions 524 to 776 of the family's 1533-position model. The record is from RNAcentral.